This 3708-nucleotide long non-coding RNA is filed under the name Equus asinus (donkey). Its description in RNAcentral is "lncRNA (ENSEASG00005031078.1)". Lineage: Eukaryota; Metazoa; Chordata; Mammalia; Perissodactyla; Equidae. The record is from RNAcentral.
UUAACAUAGAAAAGCAGUUUCAAUUUACAACCCAGGUGCAAAGCUUCAGAAAAGGGUUUUUGGACAACAUUUUCAUGGGUCCAUUUUGCUGUCUAGGCCUGAUGUUGACCCCUUUACACAGUCCUGCUUUGCUUUGAGCCUUUCUAAACAGUGUUUCAUUUAAGCUCCAUCUAAACAAUGGAAUUGUUUAAAUUCCAUUCCACAAUCCUGUAACUGUAUCUUUUCCUUCAUUUGGUUAAAUGCCCCAUGGUGUUUCUGGUGUGCAGCGCCCCUUACUGCAAUGAAUCAAUACACCUACUUUUGCUGGGCUACAGGUUUAUUUCGGGUGAUUUCAGGUUGACCGGGCUUGGACACUGUAUUGCUCAGCUUCAGGUCUCCUAAAAUGCAAAUUUUUAAAACAGAUGUAACAACGCAUUUUUUUCACUCCUAAAUGUACAUGCACCUGUCCACCAUGCCAGGUAGGCAUGCAUAGAACUACUAUGCCAAUUUGUCAUAACUGGGAUUGGUUCACACAUCUGAAAGUUUACAGGAACAAGAAAGGAAGUCAGAUUUGGGGGUAGCUUUUGGUUCACUUCUUGAACAGGCUCAAUUUUCUUUCUCUUUGGGGCCCCAGACAUUUUGUCUGAUAAACUAAUGCCACCAUCCCUCAUGAGUGAGAAAAAAACGAGACACAUCUACUCAGCUGCAGCUGACAGGAAUACUGGGGUCCAGCUGGUUACAAGUGGACGGCUCUGGCCACAGUGACACGCGCAGGUACUCUACAAACACUGCAGGGAAGUGGGCGUGCUGCUGCUCUUCCCCACGUCCUCCAGCUGGGACCCGGGACCUGUGCAACCCCUCUGCUCGGGGCCUCGGGGCAGGAACCCGAAGCGGAGAGUACACCUUGCCCCUCACAUCUGUCUCUUGCCACAGCAAGAGCAGUGAGGCGCGGUUCAGGGGGACACAACCUCCAAGGCAGCUCGCACGAAGGACCAGCGGAAUCCCUUAAACGUGAGCGCCUCUGGCCGCCAGCUUUGUUGCAAGGGCGCACCUAGGCUCAACCUCCGUCUUGGCGAUUGGACGAGCAGCUACGGCGUAGGUCCGCAGGGGGAGGCCCGAAUAGACCGCCGAGCGGCACCAAGACGCCAUGUUGAAUCCUGGCAUCCCCCACGAGUUGCCGUUCCUGCCGGUGAUUGGACGAGCCAGUUGGUUCUCCCAGAAGGGGCGCAGCCCGCCAACCCGAGCUCUGCAUGUGCUGGUCUGGUUAUCUGGUUUCUGAGGUCUGUAGUUGCUAAUGAUUGUCUUGUUCAUUCCUGGACUACUGCGACCUCACGAGGUAGACAAGGCUUUCUUAGAGCUUCGAAGAAACCUGAAAACUGCCUGGGGCUGCUCGGGAGGGGAUCUUGAGAUGCUUCUUCAAGGACACGCUGUCGUUCUCUAGGAAGAAAAAGUUGGGAGCACAUUCUAGGAAGAGGGGGCCCAGCUGCAGGAAAAGUCGCCAGAAUUGUAGCUAUAGCGGGAUUAGGGAUGAGGGACACAGAAUGCCCAGAGAGAAAAACCUAGCAAGGUGUUGGGGUAAGCUUGUGGAGGGCCUUGAAUGCCAGGCUAGGGAGUUUGGGCUUUAUCCUAUAGACUAGGGAAUAAAAAUGAACAUUAGGAGGAUUUUAGACAGAGAUGACAUAAUCAGAUAAUUAACUUUAGAAAAAUAAUUCUGUUCCUGUGUGGAGUAUCCAAAAAUGUUUCCCAAAGUGUGUUCAGUGAACCAGUAGGGGAGCUUGUUUUUAAAUGCAGGUUCUGGACUCUCUCCACACCUGCAUAUCAUAUUCUCUGCUUGUAGACCUAGGAAACUCCAUUAAAAAACAUUUAAGUUAACAUAUAAUUGGGGAAAAGAAAUGCACAAAUCAUAAGGGUAGAGCUCUGAAUUUUCACAAGCUGAACACACUCAUGUAACAAAUAUCCAGAUGAAGAAACACCACCAGCAGUUCAGAAGCCCCUCUUCCCCUCCAGCCACUGCUGCCUGCGACAAGGGUAAACACAAUCAUUACUUCUAACAACCAUAGAUUAGUUCGCCUGAUUUGAACUUUAUAUAAAUGAAGUCACAGCAUAAACUCUUUGUGUCUGAUUUAUUUCAGCUGUGUAUAAAUUCAUCCAAAUUGUUCUGUGUAGUUGCUGUUUGACUCCACUGCUACAGACUUCCACAGUUUAUCCAUUCUCUUGUUUAUGGGCCUUGGAUAGUUUCCAGUUUGGGGCUACUACCACAAAAGUGUUGUUAUGAAUGUUUUUAUUCAUGUCUUUUGCUUUGUAAAUUAUAAAGCAAGAUACCAAGGCCUAAAGACUAAUUCAUUCACACCCACUUAUUGAGCCCCUUAUCAGGCAUUAUGCUAAGAAAAGAAGAUGGCCAAGGUCCUGCCCUCAUGGAACUUAUUCCAUUUGGCACAAAACUAGAACUUAAGUGAAAAGAAAAGUAAGUCAAACAAUUGCAAUUGUGGUAAUAGCUCUGAGGGACAAAAGGCUGAGCUAGCAGGAAGGGAAAUGACCUAUUUCUUUUAUGUGGUAGUCCGGCUAAGUCUCUCACAAGAGCUACUAGAAAAAAAUACAAGAGAUGAGUUGGCACUGCCAUGAGAUAAGUACAAACAGAGGGAAGAGCAUUCCUCAGGGGAGACACCAGGUGCAAAAGUCAUAGAGCAGGAGACAGCUUAGCCUGUUCAAGACCAGUGUGGCUGAAGCACAAUGAAGGGGAACGGGGCUAGCAUAAGGUCUUAAAGAAAAGGACUGAAUACAUCUGGGAAUUGUCAGCACAAUGAUCACUACCAUAAUCAAGUGAUGAAAGGCAACAAAGAGAUAUCCUGCAUGUGUUCUGAUGUGGUGGAUCAAGGGCACCACACUUCUACCAAAAAUGCAUAAUCUCAAUCUAAUCAUGAGGAAAACUACAAUAAAUCCAUAUUGACAGACAUUCUACAAAAUAACUAGCCUGUAUUUAAAAAACGUCAGCACUAUGAAAGACAAGGAAAAGCGAAAGAAUCACUACGAAGUUUUUAAAAACUAGACAUGAUAACUAAAUGCAACUUGUAAUCCUCCAUUAGAUCAUGGGCCAGGAAAAAAAAUUUUUUCAUUUGCUUUGAAGGACAUAAGUGGGACAACUGAUAAUAUUUGAAUAAGGACUGCAAAUUAUAGUCUAUAUACCGUUAUUAAUUUCCUGAUUUUGAUCUUUGUUCUGAAUACGUAAGAUAAUGUCCUUGUUUUUAGGAAAUAACAUAUUUAAAUAUGUAGAGAUAAAGGAACGUGUCUGCAAUUUCCUCUCAAAUGGUUCCUAAAAUAACCGAUAGAACGAUAAAGUAAACAUAAAAUGUUAAUGUUUGGGGAAUCUAAGGAAGAGUUUAUGGGAAUUAUUUGUAGUCGUUUUGUAACUUUUCUCUAAACCUGAAUUACUUUAAAAUGAAAGGUUAAAAAAAUUACUAGGGUCACUUAGGGAGAGGGAAAAAACAAUACUAAGCCACGAGCAACAACAUUUAGACAAAAACAAACAGAGAACUGACUAAUAGAAGGAAAGAUGCAAGAAUGUUAAAAAACGAAGUCAAAUGGAAUGCGGACAGAAUUACAUUGGACGUCAUAGCUUCGGUGCUCUUCUUCACCCUAAAAUUCUAAGAGAUGACCUUCCUGCACGUCACCCGCAAGAUCACCGAAACCAAUCCCUCGACUCACGUCCGGGAAAGAACACGCCAACUGUGG